GACGAACGCUGGCGGCGUGCUUAACACAUGCAAGUCGAACGGGAUCCAUGGGAGCUUGCUCCCGGAAGAUCUAGUGGCGAACGGGUGAGUAACACGUGAGGAACCUGCCCUUCACUGGGGAAUAACUCGGGGAAACUCGAGCUAAUACCGCAUACCUUCCACUGGUCGCAUGGCCGGCGGAAGAAAGAUUUAUCGGUGAUGGAGGGCCUCGCGGCCUAUCAGCUUGUUGGUGGGGUAACGGCCCACCAAGGCAACGACGGGUAGCUGGUCUGAGAGGACGAUCAGCCACACUGGAACUGAGACACGGUCCAGACUCCUACGGGAGGCAGCAGUGGGGAAUCUUGCGCAAUGGGCGAAAGCCUGACGCAGCAACGCCGCGUGCGGGAUGACAGCCUUCGUGGUUGUAAACCGCUUUCAGCAGGGACGAAGCGCAAGCGACGGUAGGUGCAGAAGAAGGACCGGCCAACUACGUGCCAGCAGCCGCAGUAA
This 489-nucleotide ribosomal RNA is filed under the name uncultured bacterium. Its description in RNAcentral is "partial 16S ribosomal RNA". It matches the Rfam family "Bacterial small subunit ribosomal RNA", at positions 28 to 523 of the family's 1533-position model. The record is from RNAcentral.